UCCACUACUCAGUUGGUACAGUACAAAGCUCUUAAUCUUGUGGACGUGGGUUCAAGCCCCAUGGUGGAG
Molecule: non-coding RNA, 69 nt
Organism: Triticum aestivum (bread wheat)
Lineage: Eukaryota; Viridiplantae; Streptophyta; Magnoliopsida; Poales; Poaceae
Source: Rfam